CACAGAAAAUGCACCGCCCCGAGUGUCUUAUUGCUGUGAUGAAAUGGAAAUUUAAAUAAAAGGUCGAACACGUGCGUUCACUGGGAAGUAUUGACAUGGGUGUUACAUCACCAGCAGCCAAUCAGAUAACUCCAGUCGUGUUUAUACUUCUACAACCACCUUGUGAGUAUUACAGUAUGUCAUAACGUUAUAAAUAUUAGGCAGGGUUUUCCCCAGGAGCGGGGAGGAGUCUGCUUCUACGGACGUUGUGAGCGGCUCUGAAGAUUGUGUGUUUAAAGUCAACAAUUCAUUUUUAAGACUUUUUUCGAACUGUUUACAUUACAUGGACUUUAGAUUGAUUCUGACAGAAUGAACUGGAAAUGAAAUCCCACAGUUAUGAUCGUAGUAGAGUUUUUUUUUUUUCCAAUUUAGGGCCCUUAUACUCCUUUAAAAAAAUUUUAAUAUGCUAAAUUUAGCAAAUACUAAAGUGUUAAGACUCAUCUGACAAUGUGAGAAUUUAAGCCUAUUUCAGGUUAAGAAAAAAAAGAUGUUUUCAAGUUAUGGAGGGACUUUUUACUCUUAAGCGACAUAUGUAUUAGAAGUUGAAUCACGAACUGAUAAAAUGCUCCAGAUAAUUGUUGACUAAAAAAAAUACGGCAGGACAAAUUUUUUACAUUAAUACAUAUGUGCAGAAAAUGAGAAAUAUACAUGAACUCUUUACAGUUAUAGACUAUCUAAUGGGAAGGGUUAUGUUAAAGGCUUGAACCUCCUAAAUAUAUUAAUGUAAAUAAAGUUAUAUAUGUUUUAUGAAGAACAGGUGUUACAAUUUUUAGACCUAGUUUUAUGAUUCUUAUUCUCUUCAAAAGUUCUUUUUCUAUUUCAAAACCAAGAGCAAUAUGUAAAGCUUUGUAUAAUAUGGAAUAUGGUAUGUAUUUCAAGGUUACUUUAAAAAGCAAGCUUUGGCUGGUCCCAAGGUAGUGAAUUGUCUCAAUUGGUUAUUCACAGUUGGUUGCCCGUUGUACCACUCUUUCCCCACUUCCACUUGACUAGUCUUUUAAAAAUAAAUAAAUAUUUAAAUAAACAA
RNAcentral lists this antisense RNA (1063 nucleotides) under Pan troglodytes (chimpanzee). The stretch from base 941 to 1035 matches the Rfam family "Y RNA". Lineage: Eukaryota; Metazoa; Chordata; Mammalia; Primates; Hominidae. The record is from RNAcentral.